RNAcentral lists this ribosomal RNA (253 nucleotides) under uncultured bacterium. RNAcentral describes it as "partial 16S ribosomal RNA". It matches the Rfam family "Bacterial small subunit ribosomal RNA", at positions 524 to 776 of the family's 1533-position model. The record is from RNAcentral.
UACGUAGGGGGCAAGCGUUGUCCGGAAUCAUUGGGCGUAAAGAGCGCGUAGGCGGUCCGGUAAGUCCGCUCUGAAAGUCCGGGGCUCAACCCCGGGAGGCGGGCGGAUACUGUCGGGCUAGAGUCCGGAAGAGGCGAGUGGAAUUCCUGGUGUAGCGGUGAAAUGCGUAGAUAUCAGGAGGAAUACCGGUGGCGAAAGCGACUCUCUGGACGGCAACUGACGCUGAGGCACGAAAGCGUGGGGAGCAAACAGG